CAUACGGCAUUUAAAAAAAAAGACACGGCCUGUGUCAUUGUAAAAGUGGCAGGAAGCUCUUUCCACGCCAUUUGUCCGGAUCCCCAACACCAUCUCUCAUUUUCUCUUUAAUUUUUCAUAGAAAAAUCGUGAUCUACGAAGAUGUAACCGGCCAAACUCAAAUCCGACUUCGGUAACGUGAUCUACGAAGCCCGAUCUACGUUUUCACCGAUCGUUUUGAGGUAAUGGGUUGCUUGGAACUUGCUUGAGGAUGCCCAAACCAUGGGUUUUGGUUUGGUGAAAUUUUGUGAUACAUUGUAAGGUGGUGUCUAGGAGACCCAGUGAUUAAAUCUGCGCAGCCAAGACGUUUAUACUUUGGUUGCAGGUUUUGCGGAUAUAGAUAUUGACUCGUCCACCUAGCAUAUGGGAUGCUAUGAUUGGAGCACAUCGCGACAGUCAUAAGUCACAGAUUCAUGGGUAGUCCGCAUUUGGGUAUUUUAUUUAUGGCUCGUGUCAUACGUGGCAUAUGUAUUUGUUGAGCCUGUAUUUUAGUAUAUAUAGUCAAUGUAAUAUGUUUUAUAAGCCUUAAAUAGAUAGACUUGUAAAUGGCUCUUCUUGUAAUUAACUUUUAUGUGUUAGAUGUAUUUCCACUUAUGAUA
Alnus glutinosa is the source of this 638-nucleotide long non-coding RNA. RefSeq lists it as uncharacterized. NCBI's taxonomy places the organism in Eukaryota, Viridiplantae, Streptophyta, Magnoliopsida, Fagales, Betulaceae. The transcript is spliced from 4 exons. The record is from RefSeq and is a predicted model, not a curated record.